GGCGCUAUAGCCAAGUGGUUACGGCGACAGAUUAGAAUAUUUACUAUCUGUUCCUCUUUGAGGGCGCAGGUUCGAGUCCUGCUGGCGUCG
Molecule: transfer RNA, 90 nt
Filed under: Coprinopsis marcescibilis
Lineage: Eukaryota; Fungi; Basidiomycota; Agaricomycetes; Agaricales; Psathyrellaceae
Rfam family: tRNA
About the family: Transfer RNA (tRNA) molecules are approximately 80 nucleotides in length. Their secondary structure includes four short double-helical elements and three loops (D, anti-codon, and T loops). Further hydrogen bonds mediate the characteristic L-shaped molecular structure. tRNAs have two regions of fundamental functional importance: the anti-codon, which is responsible for specific mRNA codon recognition, and the 3' end, to which the tRNAs corresponding amino acid is attached (by aminoacyl-tRNA synthetases). tRNAs cope with the degeneracy of the genetic code in two manners: having more than one tRNA (with a specific anti-codon) for a particular amino acid; and 'wobble' base-pairing, i.e. permitting non-standard base-pairing at the 3rd anti-codon position.
Source: Rfam by way of RNAcentral